GCUCAGUCAGGGGACAGAGCGCAGCCUCAGCACCUCGGACAGAAGGAAAAACACUCGCAUACACACUGCGGAUGAAAGGCCGUCCCACGCUCUCUGCUCGUGCACGGACUUGCAAAAAAAAAAAAAAGCCUUCUGAUCACGGAUACAAACACACCAUUCAACAAGGAUAUCUCACCCACAGCCCGCCACGGACAGCCAGCCUCGGCAGAUGGUGUGGGAUUUAUCGAUCUAGUCCACGCGCUCACCUGUUUGUCAAAGCGAGGCUGCACAAACUCAUGUGUCCUGCACAUCUGGAGCCUGGACGAUGCUACCGAACGGAUGUUUAAGUCUCCAUGGAUGCAGAAGGCACGAUGUGAAAGAAGCUUCAGACUUUCCUUUUGCUGUUACAGAAAACAACGGAGCCUGUUCCUGUCUUUGGUUAUCUAGCUGUAUGAGUGUUAAUCAUCCAUCAUAAAGCUAGAUAACCGAAAGUAGGAAUGACCUCCAAACCUUCGGCUUCCUGCGUUAAUGAGAAUAAACAAAAAGAAAAACACAAGAGGACAUCACGUUAUUUCAGGACCAUAAUGAUGAUGAUGCCGUCAUGCUGUGGAGGAUCUUCAGAGCUGUAUCAGUGUGUUCACAGGCCAAUACGUGGGUUUAUUGUCUCUGUGCAAUAAAGCUGCUUAGCCGCAAUUCAUACAAAAUAAUAGUUUGAAUGAGUUUUGAUACUGAUAAAGAAACUUGUCAUGAUAUAACAUUUGAGUGUUAUUUAUUUUCUCUUGGAGAAUCAUUUCUGAAAAAUGAAUAAAAAAUGUAAAUGGAUUUCGACUGAAAUGUGAUCUUUAAUUUAUGACCUAGCUUUCUUUUGUCAAAGUUAUAUUGACUUUUAGUCUUUGAAGUUGAUUAUUUGUGAUUUUAUUAGUUUUUUGAUGGAAGCAUUAAACAAUUCUAAAUGUUCCUGUUUUCAUUAAUUUACACCUGAUUUAUUCAUAUGACAUUUGAGCUUAUCAAAGCGAGCUGAAUGACUUGUUUGGCUCUUUACUCAAUAAAAUAAAUGUUGGAGAAAAAUGA
This is a long non-coding RNA of Perca fluviatilis (European perch), 1050 nucleotides long. RefSeq lists it as uncharacterized. The transcript has 3 exons. The record is from RefSeq and is a predicted model, not a curated record. NCBI's taxonomy places the organism in Eukaryota, Metazoa, Chordata, Actinopteri, Perciformes, Percidae.